Molecule: ribosomal RNA, 425 nt
Filed under: uncultured bacterium
Lineage: Bacteria
Description: bacterial SSU rRNA
Rfam family: Bacterial small subunit ribosomal RNA
Source: RNAcentral
AGGGAAUAUUGCGCAAUGGACGAAAGUCUGACGCAGCAACGCCGCGUGGGUGAUGAAGCAUUUCGGUGUGUAAAACCCUGUCAGUGGGGAAGAAAAGUAUCGGGAGUAACUGCCCGGUACCUGACGGUACCCGCAGAGGAAGUCCCGGCUAACUCCGUGCCAGCAGCCGCGGUAAUACGGGGGGGACAAGCGUUGUUCGGAUUUACUGGGCGUAAAGGGCGCGUAGGCGGACCUUCAAGUCGGAUGUGAAACCUGGCGGCUUAACCACCAGCCUGCAUUCGAUACUGUUGGCCUUGAGUAUGGGAGAGGAGAAUGGAAUUUCAGGUGUAGCGGUGAAAUGCGUAGAUAUCUGAAAGAACACCAGUAGCGAAGGCGGUUCUCUGGACCAAUACUGACGCUAAAGCGCGAAGGCUUGGGGAGCAAAC